AUUGAACGCUGGCGGCAGGCUUAACACAUGCAAGUCGAGCGGAGCGAGGGUGCUUGCACCUUAGCUUAGCGGCGGACGGGUGAGUAAUGCUUAGGAAUCUGCCUAUUAGUGGGGGACAACAUUCCGAAAGGAAUGCUAAUACCGCAUACGCCCUACGGGGGAAAGCAGGGGAUCUUCGGACCUUGCGCUAAUAGAUGAGCCUAAGUCGGAUUAGCGAGUUGGUGGGGUAAAGGCCUACCAAGGCGACGAUCUGUAGCGGGUCUGAGAGGAUGAUCCGCCACACUGGGACUGGGCCACGGCCCAGACUCCUACGGGAGGCAGCAGUGGGGAAUAUUGGACAAUGGGCGGAAGCCUGAUCCAGCCAUGCCGCGUGUGUGAAGAAGGCCUUUUGGUUGUAAAGCACUUUAAGCGAGGAGGAGGCUACUUAGAUUAAUACUCUGGGAUAGUGGACGUUACUCGCAGAAUAAGCACCGGCUAACUCUGUGCCAGCCGCCGCCGUAA
This 501-nucleotide ribosomal RNA is filed under the name uncultured bacterium. Its description in RNAcentral is "partial 16S ribosomal RNA". It matches the Rfam family "Bacterial small subunit ribosomal RNA", at positions 30 to 523 of the family's 1533-position model. The record is from RNAcentral.